CGGAGAUUCAGCAAUGGAUCUUAGUGGCGAACGGGUGAGUAACGCGUAGGCAAUCUGCCUUCUAGAUGGGGACAACAUCCCGAAAGGGGUGCUAAUACCGAAUGUUGUAAUUGGUUCGCAUGGACUAGCUACUAAAGGUGGCCUCUGAAUAUGCUACCGCUAGAAGAUGAGCCUGCGUCUGAUUAGCUAGUUGGAGGGGUAACGGCCCACCAAGGCUUCGAUCAGUAGCCGGUCUGAGAGGAUGAACGGCCACACUGGGACUGAGACACGGCCCAGACUCCUACGGGAGGCAGCAGUGGGGAAUCUUCCGCAAUGGACGAAAGUCUGACGGAGCAACGCCGCGUGAGUGAAGAAGGUUUUCGGAUCGUAAAGCUCUUUCGUUAGGGACGAACGUGCUCUUUGUGAAUAAUGAGGAGUAAUGACGGUACCUAAAUAAGAAGCCACGGCUAACUACGUGCCAGCAGCCGCGGUAAUACGUAGGUGGCAAGCGUUGUCCGGAAUUAUUGGGCGUAAAGCGCGCGCAGGCGGGAUAUC
This 534-nucleotide ribosomal RNA is filed under the name uncultured Anaeromusa sp. RNAcentral describes it as "partial 16S ribosomal RNA". It matches the Rfam family "Bacterial small subunit ribosomal RNA", at positions 67 to 584 of the family's 1533-position model. Lineage: Bacteria; Bacillati; Bacillota; Negativicutes; Selenomonadales; Sporomusaceae. The record is from RNAcentral.